Molecule: ribosomal RNA, 253 nt
Filed under: uncultured bacterium
Lineage: Bacteria
Description: partial 16S ribosomal RNA
Rfam family: Bacterial small subunit ribosomal RNA
Source: RNAcentral
UACGUAGGGGGCUAGCGUUGUCCGGAAUCAUUGGGCGUAAAGAGCGCGUAGGCGGCCCGGUAAGUCCGCUGUAAAAGUCAAAGGCUCAACCUUUGAAAGUCAGUGGAUACUGCCGGGCUAGAGGGUGGUAGAGGCGAGUGGAAUUCCCGGUGUAGCGGUGAAAUGCGCAGAUAUCGGGAGGAACACCAGUAGCGAAGGCGGCUCGCUGGGCCACACCUGACGCUGAGACGCGAAAGCUAGGGGAGCGAACAGG